CGGGCGGUAGGAUAGGGGUAUUCCGCGUGGUUCGGGACCACGAGAUCGGGGGUUCAAAUCCCCCCCGCCCGA
This 72-nucleotide transfer RNA is filed under the name Treponema sp. RNAcentral describes it as "tRNA-Pro". It matches the Rfam family "tRNA". From Rfam's summary of the family: Transfer RNA (tRNA) molecules are approximately 80 nucleotides in length. Their secondary structure includes four short double-helical elements and three loops (D, anti-codon, and T loops). The record is from RNAcentral. Lineage: Bacteria; Pseudomonadati; Spirochaetota; Spirochaetia; Treponematales; Treponemataceae.